AACGAACGCUGGCGGCAGGCCUAACACAUGCAAGUCGAACGCCCGUAGCAAUACGGGAGUGGCAGACGGGUGAGUAACGCGUGGGAACGUGCCCUUCGGUUCGGAAUAACUCAGGGAAACUUGAGCUAAUACCGGAUACGUCCGUAAGGAGAAAGAUUUAUCGCCGAAGGAUCGGCCCGCGUCGGAUUAGCUAGUUGGUGAGGUAACGGCCCACCAAGGCGACGAUCCGUAGCUGGUCUGAGAGGANGAUCAGCCACACUGGGACUGAGACACGGCCCAGACUCCUACGGGAGGCAGCAGUGGGGAAUAUUGGACAAUGGGCGCAAGCCUGAUCCAGCGAUGCCGCGUGUGUGAAGAAGGCCUGCGGGUUGUAAAGCACUUUCAGUAGGGAAGAAAAGCCGAGUGCUAAUAUCAUUCGGUCUUGACGUUACUUACAGAAGAAGCACCGGCUAACUCCGU
This 459-nucleotide ribosomal RNA is filed under the name uncultured bacterium. RNAcentral describes it as "bacterial SSU rRNA". It matches the Rfam family "Bacterial small subunit ribosomal RNA", at positions 29 to 506 of the family's 1533-position model. The record is from RNAcentral.